GACGGAAGGUGCAAGCGUUGCUCGGAAUCACUGGGCGUAAAGGGUGCGUAGGCGGCUUGGUAGGUCUGGUGUGAAAGCCCCGGGCUCAGCCCGGGAAGGGCACUAGAAACUGCCAAGCUAGAGUGCCGGAGGGGAGAGUGGAAUUCCUGGUGUAGCGGUGAAAUGCGCAGAUAUCAGGAGGAACACCGGUGGCGAAGGCGGGUCUCUGGGCCGAAAUUGACGCUGAGGAGCGAAAGCGUGGGGAGCAAACAGG
This 253-nucleotide ribosomal RNA is filed under the name uncultured bacterium. Its description in RNAcentral is "partial 16S ribosomal RNA". It matches the Rfam family "Bacterial small subunit ribosomal RNA", at positions 524 to 776 of the family's 1533-position model. The record is from RNAcentral.